GUUUGUCGAGCUUUCCGAGACUUCUCCGUGCUGCUCUUGAUCCAAAUACGGAGACUGGAUUGCUCGAUUGCGCGUCGAAGCAUCAUUAAACAAGGUGGGAGACAUAAGGGGUGGAGUGAAUGCAAACCCUUUGUUUUGUAGGUGGCGUUCGGAUGAAUGUCGAAUGUAUGAGAUUAUGUUGAAGUGUUGUUUGCUUUAGAUUUAAAUGCAUGUUUACUUGCUUUAGCA
Molecule: long non-coding RNA, 228 nt
Organism: Syzygium oleosum
Lineage: Eukaryota; Viridiplantae; Streptophyta; Magnoliopsida; Myrtales; Myrtaceae
Exons: 2
Source: RefSeq, a predicted model, not a curated record